ACUUUCUCUGAAUAGAAAAGGACCACCUUCCCCAAACAGAAGAGGACCAGUCUUUGGUCAAGAGCACAUGAGUAGCUGUGCUCCCCUGCUAGAACUUCCAAACAUGUUCUCAAGAAAAUAGUGAUCAAAAAUUGGC
This 136-nucleotide small RNA is filed under the name Jaculus jaculus (lesser Egyptian jerboa). Its description in RNAcentral is "7SK RNA (ENSJJAG00000005779.1)". It matches the Rfam family "7SK RNA", at positions 128 to 260 of the family's 331-position model. Rfam says of the family: 7SK was discovered as an abundant small nuclear RNA in the mid-70s but a possible function has only recently been suggested. Two independent studies have found that 7SK RNA binds the CDK9/cyclin T complex (known as elongation factor P-TEFb). The record is from RNAcentral. Lineage: Eukaryota; Metazoa; Chordata; Mammalia; Rodentia; Dipodidae.